GGGCAACAAUGGCUGCCUGCCUUUUGUCUGCACCUCUGUGAUCUGAAGCAACAAUCAGUGCUCAGAGCACAGAUCCCUGAUAUUUGGAGAAUAGGGCCCUCUUUACCUCCUCUGGCUCCUGCAAGCUGUUUUCAGGGUUUCAGAAACAGGUGCACAUCAGGUUUGCCAGGUAGUGAGGGGUGGGGGAUGAGUAGCUGCUACGCCGCGAAAAGCUGAAAUCGAUGGAAAUUAACCAUACUUCGCUGUCCAAGCCUUCCCGUGGAAGUUGCAAGCCUUCAAUACACUCCAGAGUUCCAAAAUAGUUAGAGAUUCCACCGACGCAAUUGUUGUCUAGGUCGGGAGACAGAUUCUCGGAGCUUCCAACUCUGCCGUCUUCCCAGUAUCCUCCAAUAAUUCCUUUAGUUUUUUCAAGGAGCUGAGAUCUGCCGCUGCUGAGGACUGGGCACUGAAGUUCAGCCACAGUCCAACACGUGAGGUGACUCCUAGGUCAGAAGGAAGCAGAAGGGAUGAGGCUGCAGGUCCCAAGGAUCUCCCCGUGAGGUGACAAUCUGGGUGAUAUAACAAGCAAUGCCUUUGAAGUAUUGGAUGAAGUUACUGGGAAACGGAGAGAAGCGGUAACUUGCCCAGUGCCAAGCAGCUACAAGUUCUGGGACAGAGCUUCAAAUACAAGAGAAUUUUCUGUCUUGGUCACUAUUCUUUCCACAUUGCCUCUUAAACAGCCUGCAUAAACACUUCUUUAAACAAUUUUAGUGUGACACAGAUGCUUACAGUGCAAAAUUAAAAUAAACUUAACAGAUAAAUUAGAAUUGGACAUUUGUCUGAUAGCAACAUGAUAGCUAUAAGAUCAAUAACUUUCCGUCACAGAAAUAAUAUAGAAUUUAAACUUUACUUGCAUAUAAUCUAGAUAGAAAAAUUUGCAUAUAAGAAAAAGAGUGUGAGACACAUCAGGAAAUGUAUCAAGAUACUGUUGAACUGGCUCAUUUAAAACCUGAAUACCCAGGGGACAUCACCAAUAUUGUCCUCAGAUAAUGAUGUAGAAAUGCAUUUCCUUGAAUAUAUGCUUAUCUUUAUUUUCAUCAGUAGGAUCCAUGAGAAAUAAUGAAAAGGAAUCUUUUGUUAAAAGAUAAGUACAGGUGUCUUCGAAGUAGUUCAACAUGCCAUGGGCAAACCUUUACUGAGUACUUAAAUAAAGCAGAGAUUAUGCCAUGGAAAGCAUGAGAACUGAAAAGAAUAUGGCUGUCUUAGUUUUCUACUGCUGCGUAACAUAUUACCAUAUUUAGCAGCUUAGAACUGCACCCAUUUAUUAGCUCACAAUUCUACAGAUGAGAAGUCCAGAAGUCCUGGACCCUCUGCUUUAGGGUCUCACAUAGCCACACUCAGGGGUUGGGCUAGCCUGAGUUCUUACCUGGGAAUCUGGAGAAGAGUCAGUCAAUUCAGUUGCCGGCAGAAUUCAGUCAUGUGCAGCUGUAGGAUUGAGGUCCCUGUUUCUUUGCUGGCUAUUGACCAGGAGCUGUUGUCAGCUUCUGGAGGCCACCUAUAUUCCCAGGCUUGUGGGCCUUCCAUUUUCAAAGCCAGCAAUGCCACGUCAAAUCCUUCCUAUGCUUUGAAUCUUCCUGACUUCCCAUCAUGCCGCUGUCAUCACCUUUUAAAGGAUGUGUGUGCUUAAGUGAGGCACAUGCCAGUUAAUCAUGGUAUUUUAAGGCAACCUGAUUUGGGACUUUAAUUACAACAACAGAACCUCUGCAGUGCGUAGAUGACUGUUUGAGUUACCAGAAGAUAGGAAUAUUAGGGAGUCAUCUUUGGAAUUCUGACCCACAUCAUCAAUGGCUACACCAUCAAGAGGCACAUUUUGUUCAUCUUAUGAUUCCUUGUCAGUGGACACACUUUUCCUAAUGUCAAGGUGACUAUUGACGUGGAUAAUGAACUUGGAGAUUAAGCCAGAAUAUAGUAAUAACCACCAUGAAUUAAGUACAUGGAAUAUGCUUGGUGUCUCAAACACACUUUCUCCUUUGAUCCUCACACAACACUUCAAGUAUAAAGCUGAGCUUCAUAGACUUUCUGCAACUUGCUAACAUCAGACAGCCAGUAAAUGAGGGAGCCAAACUUCAAGAAAAGAACUGUAUGAACACAGUGUCUGUGCUUUUUGCAGCACAGCAUGAAGGAAAAAGGAUCUGAGAGUCUUGUCCUUGAGAAGAAAGUUACACUUCAAGCAGAAAGAUUAAAUAAAAUUUGUUAUGCAACAUCAAUAUGAUUAAUGAUUCAUUACAGAUAGUAUAAAAUGUUUUAUAUGUAUGUACCUGUUAUUCCAUGUUCAUUUUUAUCACACUAAUUAAGAAAGUUUUAUAUAUAAUGUGUAUAUGUGUAUGUUUUAUAUAUAAAGUAUAUAAUGGA
This 2391-nucleotide long non-coding RNA is filed under the name Homo sapiens (human). RNAcentral's name for it is "HSALNT0081522". Lineage: Eukaryota; Metazoa; Chordata; Mammalia; Primates; Hominidae. The record is from RNAcentral.